UUUGCGGUGUGGGAUGGGCCCGCGGCCUAUCAGCUUGUUGGUGGGGUGAUGGCCUACCAAGGCGACGACGGGUAGCCGGCCUGAGAGGGUGUCCGGCCACACUGGGACUGAGAUACGGCCCAGACUCCUACGGGAGGCAGCAGUGGGGAAUAUUGCACAAUGGGCGAAAGCCUGAUGCAGCGACGCCGCGUGGGGGAUGACGGCCUUCGGGUUGUAAACCCCUUUCACCAUCGACGAAGGUCC
This 243-nucleotide ribosomal RNA is filed under the name Mycobacterium sp. 19. RNAcentral's name for it is "partial 16S ribosomal RNA". It matches the Rfam family "Bacterial small subunit ribosomal RNA", at positions 212 to 454 of the family's 1533-position model. The record is from RNAcentral. Lineage: Bacteria; Bacillati; Actinomycetota; Actinomycetes; Mycobacteriales; Mycobacteriaceae.